Molecule: long non-coding RNA, 276 nt
Filed under: Panax ginseng (ginseng)
Lineage: Eukaryota; Viridiplantae; Streptophyta; Magnoliopsida; Apiales; Araliaceae
Description: long non-coding RNA (PGIN_LNC002636)
Source: RNAcentral
UAAUUACUGUUGUACGUCGAUAAUUAGGACAAACCCUAAUUAUUAUAACCCUAACCGGUUGAAGUUAGAAACCGUAACGACUGUGUUAGUAAUAUACACAGAUAAUUAGAGAACCCUAAUGGUCAAUUAGAAACCCUAAUUGAUGACGUUAAGAAACCCUAAUUAUAGAACCCUAAAUUUUUAAUCGAAAACCCUAAUUUCAAUUACCGGGUUUAAUUUCGAUGUUAUUGUAUAAGUGUUUUAAUUUACCAAAGGAUAGAAGUUAAUUGGUAAAUU